CAUCACUCCCAGCACUCCUGUCAGUUCAUCAAGCACCAUCUGCGACACACACUGGAUUUCUUCCACUGAGUCAAAACAGUGACCUUUCAGCUUGAAUUACGUUUUUGGGGACAAAUUUAUGGUGCACACCCGUCUGAAUGUUGAAGAAAAUGACAAGGAUCCUCUUUGCGAGCUUUUUUUUUUUUUUUUUUCUACUGAAAAAGCUGUUGUUCGGUCUCUAGGUUGCCUCCAUACAGAGUGCUGUGGGUAUUUUUGUUGGUCAAUCUGUUAUCAUCACCAUUGCCUAUGUUCCUCCAUCUGUUGGCAGAUUGUCAUAGGCUUGACCUCAAUAAUACUACCUACCUAAAAGCAAUUUCUACUAUAAUUAUGAUUUCAAAUAAAAGAAACCAAUUGUAACCAUUAUGUCCUGCCCCAAUCCAUCCAAUUAUACACUGUAAGAGCAGUUUACCUGAAUUCAUAUUAAUAAAUUAUUGAUUUUAAUAGCACGCUUGGUGCAUUUUGUUGUUUCUUGACUAAAUCUAAGAGGCCAGGUAGUUUUGAAAUGAAGCAUGCUUGUUUUAAAUUAUUAUUAUUAUUUUUGUUGGGGGAGAGCUCACAACUCCCACGCCAUCACUUAUGAAUGUUUCCAAAAUUGCUCUCCCAUUUUAAAACAUAAUCCGACACCAAUGCCUUGUUAUUUUAAAUACUUAAAAUAAUAUUAGGUUUUUAUUGCUUACUUCUCCACAGCUUCAAUGAGGCAUGGUCAUAAAACUUAAAUGACAGCAGUCACAGUAAAAAAAAAAAAAAAAGAAAGACGAAAAAAGACAGAUGUCUCAUUUUGAAAAGAGUCUUGAAAUUGCUAAACUGCCCACACUUGCUGGUUUAUCUUGUCGCGGUGUGAAUGUUGAAGUGUACUGAAAGUGACAGACACCACAUUCUUACCUCUGCACCUGUCUCACUAACAACUCUGAAGUCACUAUCUCACACUGUCUCUUUCAUUCCUGUUGACACUAGUUGUUCUUCCUGCCUUUGGUCUCCAUGAGUGGGUGCCCUUAAUCACUGUAAGUGACAUUUUUCACUUGAAGUCUGCUGAAUUGCUUUUCCACUUUGGUUUCAUCCCUGAGAGAAAAAAAAACUAUUCUCUUUUCCCCAAC
Long non-coding RNA from Astatotilapia calliptera (eastern happy), 1133 nucleotides. The record is from Ensembl. Lineage: Eukaryota; Metazoa; Chordata; Actinopteri; Cichliformes; Cichlidae.